CCUACGGGUGGCAGCAGUGAGGAAUAUUGGUCAAUGGGCGCGAGCCUGAACCAGCCAAGUCGCGUGAAGGAUGACUGCCCUACGGGUUGUAAACUUCUUUUAUCAGGGAAUAAAGUGAGGCACGUGUGCCUUUUUGUAUGUACUUUAUGAAUAAGGAUCGGCUAACUCCGUGCCAGCAGCCGCGGUAAUACGGAGGAUCCGAGCGUUAUCCGGAUUUAUUGGGUUUAAAGGGAGCGUAGAUGGGUUGUUAAGUCAGUUGGGAAAGUUGGCGGCUCAACCCUAAAAUUGCAAUUGAUACUGGCAGUCUUGAGUACAGUUGAGGUAGGCGGAAUGCGUGGUGUAGCGGUGAAAUGCAUAGAUAUCACGAAGAACUCCGAUUGCGAAGGCAGCUUACCAAACCGCCACUGACACUGAUGCUCGAAAGUGUGGGUAUCAAACAGGAUUAGAUACCCUAGUAGUC
This 460-nucleotide ribosomal RNA is filed under the name uncultured bacterium. RNAcentral describes it as "partial 16S ribosomal RNA". It matches the Rfam family "Bacterial small subunit ribosomal RNA", at positions 338 to 795 of the family's 1533-position model. The record is from RNAcentral.